Molecule: long non-coding RNA, 1033 nt
Organism: Olea europaea var. sylvestris
Lineage: Eukaryota; Viridiplantae; Streptophyta; Magnoliopsida; Lamiales; Oleaceae
Exons: 2
Source: RefSeq, a predicted model, not a curated record
UAUGAGAAGAAAAUAAUUUAAAGUAAUCUAAUAAGAACUUUUGAUUUAGUUAAAAAAUUAUGUCUUAUUUAACUAAGAACUCAAUCAUAAGUUUUUCUUUUACGUUAUACUACCAAAAAAGCGAAUUAUAUAAGUACAGGUGGGUUUUAUUCUUAUAUAAAAUACAAAAAAGGAUCUUUAUCCAUAAGAUUAAAGUAUCACUGAAUUCAGUGCUAUUGUUUUAAUUUUUCUUUUUCUUUUUUUGUGUUUUCGAUGGGAAGCUUUUGAGCGGAAUAUUUAUUUUCAAUGGACCGUGAUUUUCUGAUUUAAUUGUGAAAUAUAUGGAUCCAUUUCCAUCUCUAUUUUAAUCCACCAUCAUUUUUAUUAGGUUUGUGAACCAAAUUCAGUCUAGGCUUGAGUGAUUUGGAGUCCUAGUUGAAGUGGUUUUGAAGAGAUCAAAAUUAUGGAUCGGGAAGAAAAAUCGUCGGAUUUUUGCUAGCCUACUGCUAACUGGUCGCUCGAGCAGUGUGCAAGCUUUUAAAGCAGAGAUUGUCAUCUGCCUUAUCUAUAGAAGGAGUUAAUAGAGUUCUGAACGAAUUAGCUCGUUGGUAAUGGAUCAUUUGAAGAUGCCCCUCUAUAAAAUAAAUAGCUUCAGAUAUUUGGAACGGGGCCCAACUAUUGGCUGCCUAGUUGUAGGGUUACUUUUGCAGACAUCUCGAUCGGAAAGACCUCUUACGAGCGGAAGCAAUGCCCUCGGAUGUCAAAGAUAGACAAAUUGAUCGAAAAGACAAGUUAGGAGGCUCAUUUGGUGAGAGCUCGCCGACAAGGCGUCACUCCCGUCUUGCUAGACGAUGCUCGAGCGAAAGCGCCAUCUAGUUUUUCGUUUUAUUUCGAUUUCACGUGUAUUUUGACAUAGUUUCCAGCCUUUUAGGUUAUUUCUAGAUUCUGGGACGUCCCCUAUAAAGAGGAGACUUUUCUUCGAGUUUAUGCAUUGCUGAUAUUGUAUUUUUCUCUCUCUAUUGAUUGUUAAUAAUAAAAUUACUUGGUAACUCUA